Molecule: long non-coding RNA, 225 nt
Filed under: Mytilus galloprovincialis (Mediterranean mussel)
Lineage: Eukaryota; Metazoa; Mollusca; Bivalvia; Mytilida; Mytilidae
Source: RNAcentral
CCUUGGUGUGUUGCUCCACUAUAAUGGAAUAUUUUUACAAACUCAAAAGCGUUUAUCUCAACAAGGAUCAAGAGCGUUAUCUUCACUAAUAAAUUCAUUGAAACAAAUAUAUGUGACUACUGAACAACAAUUUUUUCUAUUCGAUAGUAUGGUUGGAUCCGUUUUAAGUUAUGGGUCUGAAAUAUGGGGUUUUCAUCGUGCUGGUGAUAUAGAGCCUAUAUAUAA